Molecule: non-coding RNA, 737 nt
Organism: Myodes glareolus (Bank vole)
Lineage: Eukaryota; Metazoa; Chordata; Mammalia; Rodentia; Cricetidae
Source: RefSeq, a predicted model, not a curated record
CCACCAGCACCCCUCCCCCAGACGAUCAGUGUCUAGGGAACUUAAAACUGUCAUAUCCCAUGGCCAGAAAGCUAGACUCCUAGGCCUGUACCCUGAAGAAAUUUUCAGACACUGUUCAAGAUGAGGAGGUGCUAACGUCUAUUGAAGCCUCAUAAAGCGGAGUGACCUCCGUGAGAUGGGCCCAACAGGAAACAGUUCCAUCUUCCAGAGUGGAUACUCAUUUGCUUGUCCAGCCAGGAGUCUGGGAGAAGCCAGCAGGCAAUGCAGUCAUUUGGUAAUGUCCUUCCCUCUGCCAAGGCGGAUUAAUGCUGGGAGAUUUUACAACUGGGCGACGUCAUCUCUGCUAGAGACACCUCAGCCAGGUCUUUGAUGCCUCCCCAGGACGGUCACACCCAGGCCCACAAGACCACAGCCUGGUCUACCCACAGUGCCCUUGUUUGCUUCUGCUGACUGGUCACAUACAAAAUUCUUUCCCGUCGUAAUUGUAAAAUUAGAACAUGGGGCCUUUUAAAGGUGAACUAUCAGGAGUUAUCUCAGGAGUAGAGCCUGCCUGAGGGGGCAAAGCCCUGGGUUUGGGCUGAGGUGUCUCAAAGAAAACAGUUUCAAAGGGGGAACCUUACAUAAUCAUUCAAAGCCCUUUUCUACAAAGUAACAAUCUGUCAACUUCGAUAUAUUCCUUUCCAGUCUCUCUUCUUUCCCUCUGCAACAAAUUUUUAGGUUUUUAAUAUUGCUCAGCU